Molecule: ribosomal RNA, 403 nt
Filed under: uncultured bacterium
Lineage: Bacteria
Description: bacterial SSU rRNA
Rfam family: Bacterial small subunit ribosomal RNA
Source: RNAcentral
UAGGGAAUAUUGCAAAAUGGGCGAAAGCCCGAUGCAGCAACGCCGCGUGGGCGAUGAAGGCCUUCGGGUCGUAAAGCCCUUUUUGAGGGGAUGAGGAAGGACAGUACCCUCAGAAUAAGCCUCGGCUAACUACGUGCCAGCAGCCGCGGUAAAACGUAGGAGGCGAGCGUUAUCCGGAUUUACUGGGCGUAAAGCGCGUGCAGGCGGAUUGGAGAGUUGGAUGUGAAAGCUCCCGGCUUAACUGGGAGAGGUCGUUCAAUACUUCCAGUCUUGAGUGCAGUAGAGGGAAGGGGAAUUCCGGGUGUCGUGGUGAAAUGCGUAGAUAUCCGGAGGAACACCAGUGGCGAAAGCGGCUUCCUGGACUGUAACUGACGCUCAGACGCGAAAGCUAGGGUAGCAAACG